UCCCUCUCAGGGUCGCACCUGGAGAGUUUCCAGUACUCUACCAGUCUUGACUAUGGGAGGGAGAGUCGAGCAGAGGCAUACCCAUUCCAUUCCUAGCUUGGGUGGUGGCUAGCGAGUGGGAGGCCGUCUGCCACAAGU
Molecule: small nucleolar RNA, 138 nt
Filed under: Ornithorhynchus anatinus (platypus)
Lineage: Eukaryota; Metazoa; Chordata; Mammalia; Monotremata; Ornithorhynchidae
Source: RNAcentral